RNAcentral lists this transfer RNA (69 nucleotides) under Heterocephalus glaber (naked mole-rat). It matches the Rfam family "tRNA". Rfam says of the family: Transfer RNA (tRNA) molecules are approximately 80 nucleotides in length. Their secondary structure includes four short double-helical elements and three loops (D, anti-codon, and T loops). Lineage: Eukaryota; Metazoa; Chordata; Mammalia; Rodentia; Bathyergidae. The record is from Rfam by way of RNAcentral.
GGGGAUGUAGCUCAGUGGCACAGCACCUGCCUGGCAAGCAUGAGGUCCUGAGUUCGAUUCCCUGUACCA